AGUGAACGCUGGCGGUAGGCCUAACACAUGCAAGUCGAACGGCAGCACAGUAAGAGCUUGCUCUUACGGGUGGCGAGUGGCGGACGAGUGAGGAAUACAUCGGAAUCUACUUUUUCGUGGGGGAUAACGUAGGGAAACUUACGCUAAUACCGCAUACGACCCACGGGGGAAAGCAGGGGAUCUUCGGACCUUGCGCGAAUGAAUGAGCCGAUGUCGGAUUAGCUAGUUGGCGGGGUAAAGGCCCACCAAGGCGACGAUCCGUAGCUGGUCUGAGAGGAUGAUCAGCCACACUGGAACUGAGCCACGCUCCAGACUCCUACGGGAGGCAGCAGUGGGGAAUAUUGGACAAAGGGCGCAAGCCUGAUCCAUCCAUACCGCGUGGGUGAAGAAGGCCUUCGGGUUGUAAAGCCCUUUUGUUGGUAAAGAAAAGCAGCAGGUUAAUACCCCGCUGUUCUGACGGUACCCAAUGAAUAAGCACCGGCUAACUUCGUG
RNAcentral lists this ribosomal RNA (492 nucleotides) under uncultured bacterium. RNAcentral's name for it is "partial 16S ribosomal RNA". It matches the Rfam family "Bacterial small subunit ribosomal RNA", at positions 29 to 507 of the family's 1533-position model. The record is from RNAcentral.